Protopterus annectens (West African lungfish) is the source of this 741-nucleotide long non-coding RNA. RefSeq lists it as uncharacterized. Lineage: Eukaryota; Metazoa; Chordata; Ceratodontiformes; Protopteridae. The record is from RefSeq and is a predicted model, not a curated record. The transcript has 5 exons.
GUGGAUUUUCCUUUAUUACUACAGAAACCUCUUCCGAUGCUAAAACUACUAGCACGAAUGAAGGAAGCAACAGGACAAGUCGUCCAGUAACACAAAGCCAAACCAAGAGUAUGCCCAGCCACAUCCUUCUCUGUAGUUUGCAGUACUGAAGCCUGUUGUAGUUCAUUCACUGCAGAGAUAGUUUCUGAUGCCUGUGAACAUCAGUGCAACAGUCCAUACAACAUGGAAGAAAUCUGUGCAACCCUAACACAUAACUUACCAGAAAACCAGUAUAUCAGAUGAUGAGGACAGAACCCAAAAUCAUGCCCUGUGCUUCGAGCAAAUGCUCAGGCUUGAGGAGCAGUGGUGGGAGAGAGGCAAUGAAGAUUGGGCAAGGAACUGCGCUUUGUGCAGCGAGUGGAUGCACAGGCUUGAGGAGCAUUGGAGGAAGAGAAAUACGUUGAUUGCUUUUUCUGUUUUAUGAAGUGAAAUGCAUCUGAUUCUUUUUACAAGACUGUAUUUUUCACAUUAACAUGUAUGUUGGUUAGAAUGCAGGAAUACCCAUCAGGCAUCAGUAAGGUAAUUGAAAUUGUCACGCUAUAGCUAUGCUUACAACUGUGAUUGAAAUCCAUACAUGUUGAACUAUCAUGUAAAUUAAACCAUUGUUUCAGCGCAUAUUUUUUGAAUUAUACUCUACAACCUAAAUAACAGUUGAGUUUUGUAUCUGUCACACAAAUUAUGAAGUAAAUGUUUUGCAUACAA